AUAGAGUUUUUUUUUCUCUGCUCAGGAUGAACGCUGGCGGCGUGCCUAAUACAUGCAAGUCGAACGCGCAGCGAAAGGUGCUUGCACCUUUCAAGCGAGUGGCGAACGGGUGAGUAACACGUGGAUAACCUGCCUCAAGGCUGGGGAUAACAUUUGGAAACAGAUGCUAAUACCGAAUAAAACUUAGUAUCGCAUGAUACAAAGUUAAAAGGCGCUACGGCGUCACCUAGAGAUGGAUCCGCGGUGCAUUAGUUAGUUGGUGGGGUAAAGGCUUACCAAGACAAUGAUGCAUAGCCGAGUUGAGAGACUGAUCGGCCACAUUGGGACUGAGACACGGCCCAAACUCCUACGGGAGGCUGCAGUAGGGAAUCUUCCACAAUGGGCGCAAGCCUGAUGGAGCAACGCCGCGUGUGUGAUGAAGGCUUUCGGGUCGUAAAGCACUGUUGUAUGGGAAGAAAUGCUAAAAUAGGGAAUGAUUUUAGUUUGACGGUACCAUACCAGAAAGGGACGGCUAAAUACGUGCCAGCAGCCGCGGUAAUACGUAUGUCCCGAGCGUUAUCCGGAUUUAUUGGGCGUAAAGCGAGCGCAGACGGUUGAUUAAGUCUGAUGUGAAAGCCCGGAGCUCAACUCCGGAAUGGCAUUGGAAACUGGUUAACUUGAGUGUUGUAGAGGUAAGUGGAACUCCAUGUGUAGCGGUGGAAUGCGUAGAUAUAUGGAAGAACACCAGUGGCGAAGGCGGCUUACUGGACAACAACUGACGUUGAGGCUCGAAAGUGUGGGUAGCAAACAGGAUUAGAUACCCUGGUAGUCCACACCGUAAACGAUGAAUACUAGGUGUUAGGAGGUUUCCGCCUCUUAGUGCCGAAGCUAACGCAUUAAGUAU
RNAcentral lists this ribosomal RNA (883 nucleotides) under Leuconostoc citreum. RNAcentral describes it as "bacterial SSU rRNA". It matches the Rfam family "Bacterial small subunit ribosomal RNA", at positions 1 to 867 of the family's 1533-position model. Lineage: Bacteria; Bacillati; Bacillota; Bacilli; Lactobacillales; Lactobacillaceae. The record is from RNAcentral.